Molecule: non-coding RNA, 831 nt
Organism: Rattus norvegicus (Norway rat)
Lineage: Eukaryota; Metazoa; Chordata; Mammalia; Rodentia; Muridae
Source: RefSeq, a predicted model, not a curated record
UCUGGUAGAUCCUGCUCUGAGAUCCCUGUCAGCAGCAGGCGAGGCCUGACCCUUUCACAGGGACCUGAUGAGGCCGGGAAGAGCGGGGCCUCUGUGGGGUCAGAGGCUGAUGGUCGCUUAUCUCGCUCUCCCAGGCCAAGCUGGAGGUGCCUGGGCCAGGCAACAGGGGGCUGUCAAAUGCCCUUUUACUUUGCAAGUGGCCAAAGAUUUGACUUGCUCCCCUCUCUGAUAACAGAAGGUCGGAUGCUGCUUGCCAGGGACUUGGGGGAAGGAAGUGGAAGCGGCCGCUCUAUGGAUCUAGAUAAAGCUUCAAGAGAUCGGUUCUAUGACAACACAUUGUUAAAGAUCUACAGUUCUAAACCUGUCACUGUGGAUUCUGUCUCUCUAAUGCCACCAUGUCUUGCCUCGUGUGUUCUAAAGUUUCCUUGUUAGACACAUAUGGAUUGCCAUAAAGUCAAAGCCCACACAGCAUCUGCCAUGUGAGCCGGCAUCAGUCUCCACAUUAUCAUUAACUCUGAGGAAUAUUCUAGACUUCGGAAGCCACAACAUCAGAGACGUCUUGGAACGAUGCCAGGUCACCCUAGACAAGAACAAGAGACAGCACAGGCCUGGAGGAGAGCCCAAGUCUGUGACGCUGAGGCUUAUGGGAGAGGAUUCCUGCUCUGCUGGGAGAUCGAAGGAAAUAACUUCACCUCCUUUUUUGGCCUUGAUCUCACUAGAUAGCUCCCCAAAUCCUUUCCAUGUUUGGUAGCACAGUUGGCGAGAGUUUACACCAUUCUAAAAUAAAACUUAUUAAACACGCUAAAGUUACAUAAUAACAAUAAACAUUAA